GACGACGAUGCUAGGGGUUCUGAGAGGAAGGUCCCCCACACUGGUACUGAGACACGGACCAGACUCCUACGGGAGGCAGCAG
RNAcentral lists this ribosomal RNA (82 nucleotides) under uncultured bacterium. Its description in RNAcentral is "partial 16S ribosomal RNA". It matches the Rfam family "Bacterial small subunit ribosomal RNA", at positions 272 to 354 of the family's 1533-position model. The record is from RNAcentral.